GCCUGGGUGGCUCAGUCGGUUGAGCGUCCAACUUCAGCUUAGGUCGUGAUCUCACGGUUCGUGGGUUCGAACCCCUUGUCAGGCU
RNAcentral lists this transfer RNA (85 nucleotides) under Felis catus (domestic cat). It matches the Rfam family "tRNA". From Rfam's summary of the family: Transfer RNA (tRNA) molecules are approximately 80 nucleotides in length. The record is from Rfam by way of RNAcentral. Lineage: Eukaryota; Metazoa; Chordata; Mammalia; Carnivora; Felidae.